GGAAAAGGAAAUGACUGGAGUUGUGUACUGUAUUUGGAUCUGUGUAGUCAAAUACAUUUGCUGAAGAACCCGAAAUCACUGCGUGAGAUCUGCUGGUUCUCAUCGGAAUUUUGGGAGUCAAAUAUAGAGUAGUGGCUGACUAUUUCUACUGCUAUCAAGGAGAUAUUCGCUGGAACAGGUACAUUUCCUCAUCUCUGUUACUUAUUUACUUAUUCAUUUGUUGUAUUUAUGGUGAAUUGGGGUCCAUUUCUCUUUCCUUUCCUAAUUUGGUACUACUAUAUUCCUUAGUUUAAUUAAUUCCCCUGAUGUACUUAUUGGUGCUUGGUUCGUUUAUUACGUGAUGGCAAUUGAUGAAUGUCCAGUUAUAAGCCAUUUGUUUGUUUCAGCCUUAAAGUGUGUUUGUUGGAUUGUGGAAAAAUGGAGUAAAUUAAGAAUUCAGCAUGUUAUUGUCACUCAAUUUCCUUUUAUUUACGUUGUAAUUAUCCUACUGUUUCGAUUGUUCGGAGUAUGCCUAAGCAGUUAAUAUUGAUGAGCAUUUGUAGUUUGCUUUAGGCAUGCAAUAUGAUCAUCGCAAUUACGGGUACAGUUCCUGUGGCGUAGUUGUGGUACCUAAUUAGUUUUAAACAUGAAUAUCCGUAGUUCAUUUAAUUGAAAUGUUUUUCCUUUAAUAAUUUGAGGUGUGCCAUUUUCAUUAAAUAACUCAUGGCCCUCAUUUAGUUAAUUUUAACUCUUUAGAAAUCGAGGUGUACCAUUAGUUGAAUUUCCAUGGCCCUCGCAAAUUUGAAAGUGUGUAGUUGUUUUAGGCGCGCUAUUUAAAUUAAUUUCCUUAAACUCGGGUGUGCAUUUCAUGUGACCCAAAUUCAAAUCUUAACAACGUUAAAUAGAACGUGUCGCGAACCGCGGGUGCAUUUCAUAUGACGUAGUUCAAUGCAUGUUUUAAAUAACGUUGAAUCUUCCUAAAAAUAAUUAAGAGCGGUUUAAUAAGUUAAAAGGCACAUAGGCUAAAACAUGUACUAAAAUUAGAUAAUAGGCCAAUUGUAACAGUUGAGCAACCGUGUUAGAACCACGGAACUCGGGAAUGCCUAACACCUUCUCCCGGGUUAACAGAAUUCCUUACCCGGAUUUCUGUGUUCGCGGACUGUAAAACAGAGUCAAUCUUUCCUCAAUUCGGGAUUUGAACCGGUGACUUGGGACACCAUAAAUUAUCCCAAGUGGUGACUCUGAAUUUUUAGUAAAAUAAUCCCGUUUCGAUUGUCACUUAAAUUGGAAAAAACUCCCUUUAUAUCCCCUCGGGGUGAAAAAAGAGGUGUGACAGCUCUGGCGACUCUGCUGGGGAAAAGAACCCAGAACUUUUGGUUUAGGGUUCAGAAUUCGAGCUUAGAAUAGCUGUUAUGAUUGGCUUUUAUUUGUUAUCUGAUUUUUACAUAUUUUGAGUCUAAUGUGCUAAUGCCGCUUUUUAUCACUUUGAUUUUGCUUGAACUGUAUAUAAAUUGUUACGAAACCCUUCUUCUCUCUGAGUCUUCUAAAUCAUCUGGGAAGUGUGCACUUCGUGUGACUUCUUUUCUGUUAGAGUCAUAUCCCAAUUUUAGAACGAGGUUCAGACAAGUUGCAAAACCGGUGAAGCUUCUGUAUUCCUGGUACGCUACCCCCCUCCCCCGGCUCGAGCUGUCCGCUCGGGUAAGCCAGGUCUAGAACAAUACACCCAGGGUUUUAAACCUAGUAUAACACAGCCUCAUGUCGUAUCCCUAGUAGGAACGCUUGCUUGCAUCACGUGCAUUUGACUUUGGGGACCCAACACAGGGGUUAGGUCCGUCUAGGACAGGUGUACCCAAAUUAAAAAAAAAAUCAUCCUGAUGCAUCUUACGUGCUACUCGCGCAUCUAUUUGUUUCAGAUUGCAUGUUGACCGGCUUCUAAAAUAGGGAAAGAAAAUUGAAAAAAAAAAGAAAAUUGAAAAAAAAAAAUUGAAAAAAGAGGAGAAAGAAGAAAAAAGGAAACAAAAAGUGAGAGGUAGGUAUUUAGAAAAUUCUGAAAAUCUGCCAAAAUUCUGAAGAAAAAAAAAGUCAUUUCAAAACGAGCCAAAAUUUUCAAGUGUCAUGUUUUUCUGUUCCGUCAAAACUGGCAGAACUACGCGGGUCUGAUUCUCACCGGAUGUGAGAUACGUAGGCAAACCUCAUCAGUUCCGGCCUCCAAUUUCCAAAAAUCCAAAAAAAAAUCUUUUACUUCCUUCUUUAGAAAAGUUUUUCUUUGAGACUCCAACUUUUAAAAAUACAAAAAAUAUUUUCUUUUAGUUGCUUCUCAAAAUAAAAAAAUACAAAAAUAUUUUCAUUCUUCUUUCGAAAAUUGAAAAGAAAAUUCAAGAUUCAAAAAUACUUUCUCUUUCUUUAGAAGUACUUCUUUCCUAACUUCAGAAUAAAAAUCCAUAAAUGCAAAAAUAUUUUUCUUUCUUCUUUAGAAGUUUUUCAAUCGAAAUUCCAGAAAAAAACAAUAAAAGUCGAAAUUCAAAAAAAAGGAAAAAAGAUCUUUCUUCUUUAGAAGUCUUUCUUUGCAAAAAUGCUGAACAAAAAUCAAAAUCCAAAAAAUAUAUUCUUUCUUCUUUAUAUGUCUUUCUUUCGAAAAGUUCAAAAUCCAAAAAAAAGGUUGGUUUAUUUACUUUAUUCCUGAUCUUCCCGAACUACGCAAGAUCUGAUUCAUGUUCCCACAUGAUACGUAGGCAACCCAAAUCAGGUUCGAUCACCAUUAAAAAAAGAAAUGAAAAAAAUGAAGAAAUGAAAAGAUAUUGAUAAUAAUAAGGACCGACUGAGUCCAUUCUAACAUGUUUUGUUCUGAAUUGUGAAGAAAGUUGAGGUGGUCGGUUUGUGGUAAGCUGGAAACACAAGAUCCAAGGAAAAAUGAUAACUGACAUCGAAGUUGUUACAAGUGCUCAAGAGACUCAGGUUCAGAGGGUUUAACAAGAGUCUACUAUGUUUGAGAAAAAUAGAAUACUGAAACAACAAAUGACCGAAAUGUGUCAAGCAUGGGCCAGUGGUCAAGGACAGCCUCGUCAUGAGUCACAAUUUGCUACACAGCAAGAGCAGUACCACUCGUACUCCUUUGAUCUUCCUGUAAACAUUGAGAAGCCUGCCCAAAAGAUGGUACAGGAAGAAAUGACCCAAAGAGUGAAAAGCUUAGAACAAUGGUUGAAAAACAUGCAAGGGUUGGCAGGUCAAAAGAGUGUUGCCUUCAAAGAUCUAUGUAUGUUCCCCGAUAGCCCACCUGAAAAGUUAUUGCAAUCAAUAAGAGGUGCAGGAAGAAAUGAAGAAUUGUUAAUAGCUUAUUUUGGGGAAAGCCUUACGGGAGUAGCAUUCGAAUGGUUUUUGGAUCAAGACACAUCUCGUUGGUACGUCUGGAAUGAUAUGGCACAGGCCUUUGUCAAUCAGUUCCAAUACAACAUCGACAUUGCCCCAGACCGCAUUUCCCUUUCAAACCUGAAGAAGAAACCAAGUGAAAGUUUCACGGAAUAUGCCAUUAAAUGGAAAGAGCAAGCAGCUCGAGUUAAGCCACCCAUGGAUGAUCACGAGCUAAUCAUUGUCUUACUUCAAGCGCAAGAGCCAGAUUACUUUCAAAACAUGAUGUCCGCAGUUGGCAAAUCCUUCUCGGAAGCAAUCAAAAUGGGAGAAAUGGUAUAGAAUGGUCUUAAGACAGGCAAAAUUAUAAGUCAAGGAGUUUUUAAAGCCGUGACUCAGGUUGUCCGGGUUGAGUCUGAUAAUUUUAGUGACACAAAUGAGAAGGUUGAAGAAAUCAUGAUGACAUCAGGGUCGAGAAGAGGUCCCAGAAGAACAUCUCGAAGGUAUGAGCAACCUCCUCAAGUUUUCCAUGACUCCCCUGAGCAGUAUUAUCCACCUCAGAACCCUCAAUACUCUGUCGCUCCACCUCAGUAUGUUGUCCAGCCACCAAAACACCCCAGAAGGUGAGCAUGAGCAUCACGAAAUCUCCAACAGCCUCCACAAAAUUUUCAGGUGCCCUAUAACCCACAUCCAAGCCAGAGGUAUAAAGGGGAACAAAGGUUGAAAGAUAAUUUUACACCAAUAGGAGAGUCCUAUGCAAGCUUAUUUGAGAAGUUAAAGCAUUAUGACAUGAUUACACCUAUUCCUCCAAAUCAUGUGGACCCACAUGCGAGAAGCUUUGACCCUUCUAAAAGAUGUGAAUACCAUUCCAAUGCCCAAGGGCACAAUGUUGAAAACUGUCGGGAUUUGAAAAGAGAAAUAGAAAGGAUGAUCUAGGAAAACUUGAUUGUGAUCCAAGACAGUGACACCCAGAAUAUCGCGCAGAAUCCUUUACCUUUACAUGAUGAUGCACACUUUGUGGGGAUGAUACGUGGUGACAGGUAGUAUGAGAAUCCUCUCGGGAAUUUGCUAACUGAAGUUAAUGAUUUUGAAAUUGGAGAAGGCUCUGUUGAUCCUGAUGAGAAAAUUUGUGUCUAAAUGUCAAGCUUAGCAAUUGAAAAGUCAUUCCCUCCUCACUAGGAAGGAAUCUUGGUAGUUUGUUUUGAUGUUUUUUCUCUUAUCUAGGUUAUUUCAGGGUUGUGAUCCAGAUUUUAUUUAUUUUAUUGAGUCAAACCUUUCUAUCCCUUUAUUCUGUUUGUGUAAGUCUUGUCUUUCUGUUCUGUUGCUAUUUUCAUUAGCCGGGUUAUUGAGGGUUGUAACUCGAAUUUUAGGUUGUUUGUCUUGUUGUUUACUUAAUGAAAUACAGAUUGUCCUUUUGUGUCGCUCCAUGAUUAGUUCUUUUCCCGUUAGUCUUAAUGACAUGACAUGCAUGCGGAAUUUUCGGCCAGAUCUUUGAAAAUUGAUUUAAUCUUGAAUUGGACAACUGAGAAAAAAACACUUUUUGAUGAUGAAAAGGAGUUGAAAUACCUUAAAAAUAAGCCCGAGUAAAAUUCAAGUGGAACUAAAAUAGUCAGACUCGUGGAGGUUAAGAAUCUUUACCUUCAAAAUCAUUGUGAAGUUCGGGUUGAGGAAGAAUCAAUUGAAGCAUGUUGGAAAGUUUGACAUUAAGGGAUGGAAAGUGUCUUGUGACCACGACACACCAAGAAGACAGACAUAUUCGUCAAUGCUGUGAUCGAGAAAAGAUAAUAUGUUUGGCGUUCUCGAGGCUGGGAGGCCCUUUUUCUGCUACCCAAACACUUUAUACCAUUUGUUACCCCAUUUGAGCAUGUGUUAUUUUCUUUGACUACUCUCUUUUGGAAUCAAGUUUAGAGUCAAAAAAAAAUUCAUGUCUCAAGAGUAUAAUCUGGGGCAAUUCUUAGAAAGUUCAGAAAAAGAAAAGAUUUGUCAAAGGUCCAUGCCCUAAAAAUAGGAGCUGGGGCAACUUGUUUUGAAAACAAAAGAAAAAGAAAGAAAAGAAAAGAAAAAACAACAGAAAGAAAAAUGAAAAAAAAUUAGUUAGUUCAGAUGUUUGAACUACGUUCGACCUGAUUCCUUAAAAAAGGAUAUGUAACCAGCCUCACGGUUCGGUCCAACUAAAUAAAAGUUUAGAAGAAAAAGAAAAAAAAUAGAAAAAUCCAAAAACCCUCAGUAUCUGAAACUGGGGCAAAGAUUUUAUUUCAUUUUUAAAAGAGUUGAUUCCAAAAGUUUUAAGUAUACAACCACGUCAUCUUUAGUUUGUUUUUAGCCUCAUGUCGGUCUUUUGUCCAACCCUAUCCAAAAACCUUCCAAAUAAAUACCUCCCGAUAUGCCUUCAAGAAUGCCAAGAGAAGCAUGCAAUGAGCAACGGUUGUCACACGACAUAUAACACUAUCAAGUUACUCACAAAAAGUAAGAAAAAGAAAAAUGAGAGAGUCUUACUAGUGAAAACUCUUACGGGCACAGUAAGGCGAUGGUAAGUAGAGAUGAAUAAAUGAGAGAGACUUGUUGGUGAAAAUCCCUCGGGGCACCACUAGUCGAAAGUGAGUUGUGAAGCUGAUGCGAAGAAUUGACGCAAACAAGACCAACUUCAAAGGUCAUAAAAUGGUAAAAAAGAAGAUUGGAUUAGUUUGGUAGAUCGGUCUUUAAGUCCAAAAUGCAUGUCAUGGUCAUUAACGCUAGUUAUUGGAAAAAAAAAAAGAAAAACAAAACUCUUCCACUGUCCUUCCCGAGAGGGGCAUUUCUUGUUAAUAUUGUUUCUUGGCAUCAUUAUGUCCUUCACUUUGAGUCAGUCCUUCUCAAAACAAGCAAGAAAAGAUUUCAAAAUCUGCUACCAGCUUUUCAGUUGCAUAAAGUAAAUUUGGCCAACACACUCAGUUGUUACUACCAACAUGCUUUGAGGAUUCAUGCAAAGGCUUCCCCAAAAAGACUCUUCUCAGCCUACUUAGCGCAAGAAAGAUAACUGGUGAUUCUCUUUGACAGACAAAUUGCUCAAAAAUCAGAAAGUCAUUCAAGAUAUCGGAAAGGGUCACCUAGGCAAAGAUCUCCAGUUGAGAUAAGGCUAAUUGAGCCGCAAAUACAAAUGAUAUUAGGUGUGAAACAAUUAGGGUUGAUGCAAAGAAAAAGUCUCUUGAAGCCGACUCAAGCUUAUUGAGCAGAAGCCAAGCUGCCCAAGACUCAAGGCCACAAACCGACCACCAUUUUCAAAAUUGACAAAUUUUUCUUUGUAUGAAACAGGAACAAAGCGGUGCAAGGAAAGUGAUUCAAAAAAAAUGAUGAAAAAAAAAGAAGAAAAAGAAAAGACGAGGAGAGUCUAAAAAAGGGAAGUUUCUCAAAUCUUUUCCUUUAUUUGUCUUGCUGUUGUGCAUAAAAUCUUGUCAUUGAUCUUCACAUUUUUCCUCCUAGGAUAAAAAGUCUCAGUCUGACGGAUUUUCCUCCCAAUAUAAAUCUUAGUCUGAUGAAUCUUUCUCCUAAGAUAACAAAAAAGGGAACCUAGUCCGAUGAACUUUCUCCUAGGAUAAACAUCUUAGUCUGAUGAAUCUUUCUCCUAAGAUAGAAGACCCAUCUUAGUCUGAUGAAUCUUUCUCCUAAGAUAGAAAACCUAGUCUGAUGAACUUUCUCCUAGGAUAAAAAUCUUAGUCUGAUGAAUCUUUUUCCUAAGAUACCAAAAAGAGAUCUAGUCUGAUGAACUUUCUCCUAGGAUCAAAAUCUUAGUCUGAUAAAUCUUUCUCCUAAGAUAGAAUACCUAGUCUGAUGAACUUUCUCCUAGGAUAGAAAUCUUAGUCUGAUGAACCUUUCUCCUAAGAUACCAAAAAAGAAGUAGAAAAGAGACCUAGUCUGAUGAACUUUCUCCUAGAAUCAAAAUCUUGGUCCGAUGAAUCUUUCUCCUAAGAUAUAAAACCUAAUCCGAUGAAUUUUCUCCUAGGAUAAUAAUUUUAAAAAAAAGUCUGGAUUUGAAAAAAGGGGAGUCAUUUUGUUUUUAAGAUUAUCAAUGUUUAGUUUUCCUGAAAUCAGGGGGACCCCAUCUGGAGAAUAGGGUCAGUUUUUACUUUAGUCAAGCUUAGUUUAUAGUUUUCCGCAAGCUCAAUCACGUUUAGGAGACGCACAUCCUAGUCGAGUCAUUAAUUUUACUCUCAUCAUUGCAUCAUUCAUCAAUAGCGCAGGUGAUUUAUAGUUUUGUCAACACUCACAGAUGUUCCCAAAAUCAAACUAGGGCAGGAAAAUUUCUUUUGUUUUGUCUAUUUUGUUGUAAUCAGGCGUCCACCUGGAGAACAAAGAAAGACAGUUCAAGUUUCAAGGAAAAGCAGUUUCAAAAGAAAGCAGUUUAAGUUUCAAGGGAAAUCAGUUUCAAAGGAAAGCAGUUCAAGUACAGCAAUCAGGCGCCCACUUGGAGAACAAGGGAAAACGGUUCAAGUUUCGAAAGAAGACAGGUCAAGUUCAGCAAUCAGGCGCCCACCUGGAGAACAAGGGAAAUCAUUUCAGAAGCCGAUUCAAGUUAGAAGUAGCAGAAGCUCGCCUAAAAAAUGCGGGUCGAUAGGGGUCUGAGAUAACAAAAAAGAAGCCUCAAAAUAAAAGAAAAAAAGUGAAUCUAAAGUGCAGAAGCGGAUAAAAGAUGUGGACUGCUCAAGACAUAAUUGAAGUCAAAAGCUCUGCAUGUCCUGUCUUGAUCUUAAAAAUCUGAAGAAGAUUGAACCAACACCUACAGCUAACAAACAUCAAGAUUUAGAUCAGAGUCCGUAUGAAGAACCAACCAAGACUCAUAGAUAGGAAUCUUGUAACUCGUAGCUGAUAGGCUUAAUUAGUUUUUUUCAUUUUUCAUUUUUGAUGUAAUAACGAGAUCACGGACCGAAACCUCAGCGGAACGGCACCUUGACUGGCUCUCCACCUCGGCAUACUCCAUCAUCUCACUCACUUCUGAACUACACCUAACCUGAUUCCUUUAUAGCCAAGGAUAUGUAGGCAGCUCAGAUACUAGGGCUCGGUCACAUUCCCCUUUUCUCUUAGCUUUAGACUCUCCAAAUAAGGGUCGGGUCAAAAAACCUGUCUAGUCGUUCUUUGUCUGAAAACUCUUCGCGUUUCCAGUCAAAGAGGGGCAGCUGUAGACAUGUGAUUUUUGACCCUCCCCAAGAUUUUUUAUAUUUUAGCAUAUAAAUAUUUAAUUUAGGCCUAAUAGCGUUAUUUUAACUAAUUUUGACUCUUUCACUUUAUUUUAUUACAAGAAAAUGAAAAUUAUAAAAAAAUAGUUUCAUUAAUGUUUUGCAGUCAUUUUUAAUCUCUAAAAAUACCAAAAAAUAGUUUUGUUUUAACGGUCAGUCUUUAUUUUAAUAAUUAUUUUUACUUAAGUAGGGCUAAUUAAUAUUUUUGAUAAUAUUGCUAUAUGGAUAGACUUUUAGUUAAUUAAGUUAAUUUUAAACAUAGCUAGUCAUAAAGGCCCAAGUUCUAGCCCAUUCCUUAAGCUCAAUAUCCAAUACCCAUUAAGCUAAUCCUAUGAACCCUUCUAGAGUCUUCUUUGGAACAAAAAAUAAAUAAAAAGACCCUAAGGACUUAACACAAAAAUACCUAGGGACUAAUUGGCAAAAUACACAAAAAAUACACAUUAAACCAAGACCUAUAUUAGGUAACGCCUAAUACACUAAAAAGGGGAGAUGAGAGAAUCAUCGCAGCUUUUUGAAAAAGAGACCCUCCCGUUCGUCUUCUUCUUCACAAAUCAACAACCAGAGAGACCCCCCCCCCCCCCCGCGCGUCAUGUCUUCAUCUUCUUCAACCCUUACACACCCUAAUCCCCCUUGUCUCUUCGUCUCCACCCCAAAACCAGUCAAAGCAGCCAUUAAAUUAACCCCAAACAGUCACCAAAAAUCGGUAAAUGGUUGUUUCCUUCAGCUGAAUUUAAAAAGGAAUUCAAAAAGGUCGAGUCCAAAGUCUAUUGUGUCGUCGGGGUUCGAGUUUAUGCUCGUCGAUGUUUAGGACUUGUUGAAGUCUUAUUACUGUUGAAGUUGUCGAAUCUGUUGGGUUAUCUGGUUCAGAGUUGUGGAUUUGUGAUCUAGUUGUUAUUGCUGUUGAUCUUCCUUACAAAUAGAAGUCGGAGCUGUUUGCGGUUGUUUCUCCUGCAAUUAGUAGCUGAACACCCAUUUGAAGUUAUUUUCGGCCUUUAUUUGGCUAUUUUAAAGUCUUACUACUGCUGUUCAUAAAAUUUCAUAUAUAAAAAGCUAUUUUGGAGCGGUGGAAUUGCCGCUCGUUGUCCGUUUAUUUGCGUUGUCAUUACACAAUUUCUUGUUGUUGUUCUAUUGCUAUGGAGCUUCAUUUGUUUUUAAUUCCAUAUUUUA
Molecule: long non-coding RNA, 9701 nt
Filed under: Nicotiana tabacum (common tobacco)
Lineage: Eukaryota; Viridiplantae; Streptophyta; Magnoliopsida; Solanales; Solanaceae
Description: long non-coding RNA (NTAB_LNC016810)
Source: RNAcentral